UAAGACAUGCAAGUCGAACGGACUUAACCAUUAGUUUACUAUUGGAGCGGUUAGUGGCGGACUGGUGAGUAACACGUAAGCAACCUGCCUAUCAGAGGGGAACAACAGUUAGAAAUGACUGCUAAUACCGCAUAUGCCUUAAUUACCACAUGGUAAUAGAGGGAAAGAAGCAAUCCGCUGAUAGAUGGGCUUGCGUCUGAUUAGAUAGUUGGUAAGGUAACGGCUUACCAAGUCGACGAUCAGUAGCCGGACUGAGGGGUUGAACGGCCACAUUGGGACUGAGAUACGGCCCAGACUCCUACGGGAGGCAGCAGUCGGGAAUAUUGCGCAAUGGAGGAAACUCUGACGCAGUGACGCCGCGUGCAGGAAGAAGGUUUUCGGAUUGUAAACUGCUUUAGACAGGGAAGAAACAAGACAGUACCUGUAGAAUAAGCUCCGGCUAACUACGUGCCAGCAGCCGCGGUAAUACGUAGGGAGCAAGCGUUAUCCGGAUUUAUUGGGUGUAAAGGGUGCGUAGACGGGAAUGCAAGUUGGUUGUGAAAUCCCUCGGCUCAACCGAGGAAUUGCAACCAAAACUAUAUUUCUUGAGUGCUGGAGAGGAAAGUGGAAUUCCUAGUGUAGCGGUGAAAUGCGUAGAUAUUAGGAGGAACACCAGUGGCGAAGGCGACUUUCUGGACAGUAACUGACGUUGAGGCACGAAAGUGUGGGGAGCAAACAGGAUUAGAUACCCUGGUAGUCCACACCGUAAACGAUGGAUACUAGGUGUAGGGGAUGAAUAAUCUUCUGUGCCGUCGCAAACGCAGUAAGUAUCCCACCUGGGGAGUACGGCCGCAAGGUUGAAACUCAAAGGAAUUGACGGGGGCCCGCACAAGCAGUGGAGUAUGUGGUUUAAUUCGACGCAACGCGAAGAACCUUACCAGGGCUUGACAUAUACAUGAAAAUCUAAGAGAUUAGAUCCCUCUUCGGAGCAUGUAUACAGGUGGUGCAUGGUUGUCGUCAGCUCGUGUCGUGAGAUGUUGGGUUAAGUCCCGCAACGAGCGCAACCCCUGUUCUUAGUUGCCAGCAUGUAAAGAUGGGAACUCUAAGAAGACUGCCGGUGAUAAAUCGGAGGAAGGUGGGGACGACGUCAAAUCAUCAUGCCCUUUAUGUCCUGGGCUACACACGUACUACAAUGGCUGUAACAAAGGGAAGCGAACCCGCGAGGGGAAGCAAAACCCAUAAAAGCAGUCUCAGUUCGGAUUGAAGGCUGAAAUUCGCCUUCAUGAAGCCGGAAUUGCUAGUAAUGGCAGGUCAGCAUACUGCCGUGAAUACGUUCCCGGGCCUUGUACACACCGCCCGUCACACCAUGAGAGUUUGUAACACCCGAAGCCGGUGGAGUAACCUUUUAGGAGCUAGCCGUCGAAGGUGGGACAAAUGAUUGGGGUGAA
RNAcentral lists this ribosomal RNA (1427 nucleotides) under uncultured organism. Its description in RNAcentral is "16S ribosomal RNA". It matches the Rfam family "Bacterial small subunit ribosomal RNA". The record is from RNAcentral.